RNAcentral lists this ribosomal RNA (497 nucleotides) under uncultured bacterium. RNAcentral's name for it is "partial 16S ribosomal RNA". It matches the Rfam family "Bacterial small subunit ribosomal RNA", at positions 28 to 507 of the family's 1533-position model. The record is from RNAcentral.
GACGAACGCUGGCGGCGUGCCUAAUACAUGCAAGUUGAGCGCUGAAGGUUGGUACUUGUACCAACUGGAUGAGCAGCGAACGGGUGAGUAACGCGUGGGGAAUCUGCCUUUGAGCGGGGGACAACAUUUGGAAACGAAUGCUAAUACCGCAUAAAAACUUUAAACACAAGUUUUAAGUUUGAAAGAUGCAAUUGCACCACUCAAAGAUGAUCCCGCGUUGUAUUAGCUAGUUGGUGAGGUAAAGGCUCACCAAGGCGAUGAUACAUAGCCGACCUGAGAGGGUGAUCGGCCACAUUGGGACUGAGACACGGCCCAAACUCCUACGGGAGGCAGCAGUAGGGAAUCUUCGGCAAUGGACGAAAGUCUGACCGAGCAACGCCGCGUGAGUGAAGAAGGUUUUCGGAUCGUAAAACUCUGUUGGUAGAGAAGAACGUUGGUGAGAGUGGGAAGCUCAUCAAGUGACGGUAACUACCCAGAAAGGGACGGCUAACUACGUG